CCCACUGAAUUUUUAUAAAAACUCACCUUCCUUCAUUUCCUCAUUCAUUCCUGCGCGCGAGCUGAGGCGGAGAGAACGCGAGUCACCGGUGCGAAAUAUCUAAAUUUUUAAGAUUGUAUUACUGGUGAAGAUUGUGGUGAGAGAGAAAUUUUAAGGAAUAAUUUAUUGAAAAAGCCACAAGGAGAAGAGCCACGAGUGACACGUGGAGGAGUCCCAGAGGCUUAGUGGUAUAGAUCCACUGUCUCUUUUGGGUAUUUAAUUUAUGAUUUAUAAUGUGUUAUAUUGCCAAUACUAGGGCUUUUUGUUUAUUGUCAAUUAUAUGAAUAUAUAAAUGUAAUCAUGCCUUUCAAACUAUUUCUAUUUUUGGUACAAUUUGGAUGACUGUAAUUUUAAUAUUUGGUUUACUUUG
This is a long non-coding RNA of Prosopis cineraria, 409 nucleotides long. RefSeq lists it as uncharacterized. The transcript is spliced from 3 exons. The record is from RefSeq and is a predicted model, not a curated record. Lineage: Eukaryota; Viridiplantae; Streptophyta; Magnoliopsida; Fabales; Fabaceae.